AUGGGGAGCACAUGGCGCCCCUGCAUGGCCUCGGUUUCCGUGCUCAUGCACGGCCGAUCGACGUCCUGGCCCGGUCGCCUCUGGCUUCUGGGCUGCCUUCGCCAUCGUCGCGCCCUGCAACCCCGCCGACUGGGCCGGCCUCCUCGGUCCCCGUCUCGCCCAGGGCGUCGGGGCAGGCAUCACCAGGCCUGGCCUCGCCCGCCCCUGCCUCGCCCAGGGUGUCUGGGCCCUUCUCACCAGGGCCGGCCUCGCCUGCUCUUGCCUCGCCAAGGCCGUCUGGGCCGGUGUCACCGGAGCUGGCCUCGCCCACUCUCGGUUCGCCCAUGGCCUCUGAGCCCCUGUCGUCGGGCCAGUCUUCGCCAUGCAGCCCGGAGUCGUCUGUCCCGAGCUCGCCUGAGGUGA
RNAcentral lists this ribosomal RNA (402 nucleotides) under Triticum aestivum (bread wheat). Its description in RNAcentral is "partial small subunit ribosomal RNA". The record is from RNAcentral. Lineage: Eukaryota; Viridiplantae; Streptophyta; Magnoliopsida; Poales; Poaceae.